GAUGAACGCUAGCUACAGGCUUAACACAUGCAAGCCGAGGGGUAACGAGAGGGAAGCUUGCUUUCCUUGUCGACGACCGGCGCACGGGUGAGUAACGCGUAUCCAACCUGCCCCCAACUAGGGAAUAACCUUGCGAAAGUAAGACUAAUACCCUAUAAUUUCCUCAGAUGUCAUCUGACGAGGAAUAAAGAUUUAUCGGUUGUGGAUGGGGAUGCGUCUGAUUAGCUUGUUGGCGGGGUAACGGCCCACCAAGGCAACGAUCAGUAGGGGUUCUGAGAGGAAGGUCCCCCACAUUGGAACUGAGACACGGUCCAAACUCCUACGGGAGGCAGCAGUGAGGAAUAUUGGUCAAUGGGCGGAAGCCUGAACCAGCCAAGUAGCGUGCAGGAUGACGGCCCUAUGGGUUGUAAACUGCUUUUAUACAGGAAUAAAGUUAGCCACGUGUGGUUAUUUGUAGGUACUGUAUGAAUAAGGACCGGCUAAUUCCGUGCCAGCCGCCGCCGCAA
RNAcentral lists this ribosomal RNA (506 nucleotides) under uncultured bacterium. RNAcentral describes it as "partial 16S ribosomal RNA". It matches the Rfam family "Bacterial small subunit ribosomal RNA", at positions 28 to 523 of the family's 1533-position model. The record is from RNAcentral.